GAUGAAGAACGCAGCGAAAUGCGAUAAGUAAUGUGAAUUGCAGAAUUCAGUGAAUCAUCGAAUCUUUGAACGCACCUUGCGCCCUUUGGUAUUCCGAUGGGCAUGCCUGUUCGAGUGUCUUGAAUUCAUCGCCGCCUCCGGUUUCGCGACCGGCCAGGCGCGCGGACUUGGGGGCCUGCCGCGGCGACGCGGCUCCCCUCGAAUGCAUCGGUGGGGUCUCCGAGCACCCACGGGCGUUGUAUUGUCCUCGUCCGACCGGGCCUCGCGUCCCCCGCCGCGACCUGCCGUUUGAGCGGCGGUCAAGCGACACUUUGAAAUCUGACCUCGAAUCAGGUAGGACUACCCGCUGAACUUAAGCAUAUCAAUAAGCGGAGGA
RNAcentral lists this unclassified non-coding RNA (376 nucleotides) under soil metagenome. RNAcentral's name for it is "partial contains 5.8S ribosomal RNA, internal transcribed spacer 2, and large subunit ribosomal RNA". The stretch from base 1 to 120 matches the Rfam family "5.8S ribosomal RNA", at positions 35 to 154 of the family's 154-position model. The record is from RNAcentral.